RNAcentral lists this ribosomal RNA (253 nucleotides) under uncultured bacterium. RNAcentral's name for it is "partial 16S ribosomal RNA". It matches the Rfam family "Bacterial small subunit ribosomal RNA", at positions 524 to 776 of the family's 1533-position model. The record is from RNAcentral.
UACGUAGGUGGCAAGCGUUGUCCGGAUUUAUUGGGUUUAAAGGGUGCGUAGGCGGCCCUGUAAGUCAGUGCUGAAAUAUCCCGGCUUAACCGGGAGGGUGGCAUUGAUACUGCAGGGCUUGAGUACAGAUGAAGUAGGCGGAAUUGACGGUGUAGCGGUGAAAUGCGCAGAUAUCGGGAGGAACACCAAUGGCGAAGGCAGCUCGCUGGGACGUUACUGACGCUGAGACGCGAAAGCGUGGGGAGCAAACAGG